CAAACUUGGAGUUGGGCUGGUGAAAAAUGCACCAUCCAGGAGCUGCGGCUUCUCUGAAAUGCAGGAUGAACCGUCCCUCGUGAUCCCAGCCCAAAAUGAGUGAGGGGUGAGAUAAGGAACACUUGUGUUGUUAUUUACGACCGUGGCGCGGAGCUCUGGCCCCUUGUUUGUCAUGACUUGCCUCUUUGGCGUUAGAUCAAAGAGGAUAAUUAAAGGAGCACAGCGGGAAAGAGAAAAGUGGCUGUUGCAGAGGAGCAUUUCACACAUGCAGGCACUGAGCGCCGGGUUCCUGCUUCGGGGUCGGGGCCUCACAAGGUGCAGGUGUCCGGGCAGGAGGGGACACAGGGACCCCGGCUCUCCCUGUGACCAUAACACCAUCCAGCAAAUGUCAUAUACAUAUAUACACACACGGAGUAGCAUUGUUAGUCAAAUACUGGGAAAUGCUAGCAUCUCAUUGAAACUAUCCUGAUUGGGGGCUCACAAAAAUUUAUAGAAUGCUCACUAAAAUGAAAUCCAUGUCAGCCUUUGGAAAUUUUGUUAAUGUCCUUUACAGGAUAACUUUAAGUCAUUUAAUAUUUUCACAGUGGUGAUAACUCUGUCGAAACAAAGUGUUCUUCAGUGCAUAUAAAAAUAAUCUGUGCAUCCUAUCUGAAAUCGAUGGGAGUCAUUAGAAAGUUUUGUCUUUUGAUCAAGCUCAGUGGCUUUCUCAAAGCUUCCCACCAUCCCCACGGCAACACGGGUGCAGUCCCUGACUAUGGAGCUGUGUGUCCAUACAUUGUCAUACGCUGUCCAUAUAUUGUCCUGGGCUGAAUUUGCUCCAAAUGAUAUCUGCUUUCGCAAGACAUACGGAUUCUUCUCAGAUUUUUAUUGCUUUAUAUUAGAUUUUAUUCUCCUUAUAAAGGUGAAAGUCAAUGUAGUAAAUCUGUAUGUAAAAAUAGACUGUAUUUGUUGGUGUCUUCUACCCUGUUGACUGCUCUCAACAUGCCCAGACUACACACACAUAUGUUAUCGCUCUCCCAGGCUUUAGAAAUUAGUCAUUUUUUGUGUCAUUCUAAUGACAGAUCUCCACUAUAAUGAGGUUUUAUCCUUUUAAAACAAAAUAACUUUUAUUAAUUCCUUGCAUUAAUAAUUGAAGGCUUGACUUUUGGAGGGGGGGCAGGUGUUUGUUGUGAUUAAUAGCGCUCAUUCCCUGCAUAUCACAGAACUUUACUAAAUCUUAGUAAUGGUGUGGGGGUCAGUGGCACUGUUAUUAAUAGUAAUGAUAAUUAUAUCUUUGGGAAGCUGUCAGGAAAGUAUCUUUUGUACAAGUCAGAGCAGUGUAAACAGACUGUACAGGCAGGCACUACCCUUUCCAUCAAUAGGUAAACAAUCUUUUGUUAAGCUCGUCUUGAUAGUCUUAUUUUGUUGCCACAUUUUAAUUACUCAUCCUGUCUGUUUAUAUUCCGAUGUGUUUUGCUGAAGAUACAAGCUUUAAAAAUCAUUGGUAUUUAGGAAAAUCCAAAGCUGGGGUGAUGCAUGCUCAGGUGCUAAUUUAUUUACAUCAAUUAAUUUCAGGCCCCUGAUGUAAACCAAUUAGUAUUCAACACUUAAUGGAGUCAUUAUCUGUCAGAUUAGCUUUUAGAAAUGCUUGUCACUGCUACAGGACCAGGCAGCAGAACUUUGCUAAUAAAACUAGCAGAAUUAAUGGAGUGAACAGCAUAGAUAAUGACUUAAUGUGGAACAUACAGUAUAGAAAAGAGACUGAACAACUGUCUUCAAGAAAUGAAGAUAUCAUUGAGCCAGCUACGUUAUUCCAAAAAUGAGCUCAGAUGGUGCUCUUCAGAAACAUCAAAAGUGUCUCGUGAAGCGUUUGCAAAAGUUACGUUUCCUAAUAAAUAAUUUUCAACCUUUGUGCCCUCACAUAGACACAAUCUACCUUUCUGUCUUGAUGUGGCGUGGAAAUAAAUGCUGCUGUGGCCUGAAGCUGUUAUUGCCAAAGGGUUAAGAGUUAAUGGGAGUGACAAUAUCCAGGUUACUGAGCUGCUUCUGUGGGUGUCACCUGCAAACUGUGGGCUGUAAAACUUCUCCAGGUCAGACUUCCUUUUGUGAAAUGCACUUUUCACCUAACUUCAGGGCCACGGGACCCUGCAAAAUAAAUUAUAUUAGAGAAAGUCGGGCAGGAGAUUAAAAUUAUCUAGGCAGGCAAGACUGGCAUCGUACCGCUAAUCACCUGGGGAGAUCUGCAAACAGCAAUGAACUUCCAAAAAGCAUCGCUACAGUUAUAUAUGUUUUCAGAAGCUUUCCUCCUGGUGUGAGGUGACAGCAUUUGCCCAUAGUUUUGUUCUUCUAGGUUAAGUUACUUUUUUUUUGCGUUUCACCAAGGAGGUUUUUGCAGUUUUCCAUUUGUGAUUUGUGGUUAUCCUGGUUAUUCUAGUGCCUCAGUGACAGAUUGCACCCCACUUCGUGCUCAAGUUGUCCUUGCAUGGGGGGCAAUCACAAAACUUCAGUCCAAUUUAAACUUUUAAAGAAGAAUACAAGUACAGUUUAAAAAAAAAUCAUACAUUGUAUAUUUGCAUAGUAAUUCCUGUGAUUUAUGCUUUACCAGGAACCGUGGCACGUACCCGCAUACGAGUUUGCAAUAACACUGACCUCGCUGUGGGGACAGUCCUGCACCGUCCUUCUCCUAUCUGUCCUACUUGUGGUGGUGACAGGCUGGCUUGGGGGCCCUGGGGUCAUGAGUAUGUGUGUAAUUGCAUGAGGAAUUCCUCUAUUGCAAAUAUAUGUAUGACUGUAUUGGAAGAAAAGUCACUACAACCGAUUAUCUAAGCCACAGUGUCAAUGUCCGUAUUCCCAGGUGCCCUUUGCUUUCAGAGUUUUCCUUGUCACAGUAUCAAAACUUGAAUUUUACCUUAUGUUAAGAAAUGAUAAAGAUAUUAGUGUUAUUUACUAUUCUUACUUAGUUUAGCUUUUGGUUUGGUUUUGGUUUUGCCAGCUCUUUUUUUCCCUUGCUGCUCACUUGAACCUGAAUGGCCUCUUGUUCUUGCCAGGUAACCAGAUUAGUUUCUAUAGUUUUAGGUUAUGCACUAUUUAGGUAACACUGUAGGAUGGUUGUCUUCAACCUUAGAGAUGAUUCCAUGUCGUACAGAUUUUUCAAGUCUCCCUCCUUUAAGUAACUGCAUUAGCACCUUAUAAAUCUCACCUAUCCUUGUAUAGCUGUUGUAUGUAAACACUGGUGGCCACUUACAUAUUGGUUAUUUUUUUUGCAUCAGUUCUGUUUGUUCUCAAUGAUGAUUUUCCACCACCCCAGAGGGACUCAGUUUAUGGCUGUAAAAAUGAACAGUCACGUUUGAUUUUCAGUAUGGCACGUGGCUAGUGAGAAAUGGGGGACCAUGCACCCCCUCCAGAAAAAUCAUCUUGCUUCAGCUCUGCUGCUCAAGAAACUUGCUCGUAUUCUGAGGCUUCCUUCUAGGAGUGUCCUGGGGAGAAUGGAGACCGAGUGGUUUUGUCUUUGACUUGUAGGGCAUACAGGAGUUGAUGUAGAACUUCCCAAACUCCCAGUAUUUGAAAAAGCACUUAGUGAUCGACAUAUCGUACCCAUCCUCCAUGAAACCAUGACCAACUGCCAUCCAAACACCCAUGGGACAGAGGCUUUAGGAAUAUCGGUGACAGAGAGAAUAUUUGCGGAUGUAUUUUUUCAGUAAUCGCAGCAGAAAAUCCUCAGAUGUGUGACUUUCUCCUUCCAGCUGAUUGUCUACGUGAUCCCCGGGGUGGGAGAACUUGGAGUACGAGGAUGGCGACAUUUGGCCAGGCAGCCUUGGGAAGGUACCGCUGGUGACAGAGGGACAUGCACGGGUUUGGGACUCUGCCAGCUGCAGGGUUCUUGGUGACUCUUGGCAUUUGUGUUACAGUGUGACAUGAUGCCGCAAGAGUGUCUGCAAAGAACAACAGCUCCAGAAGGCCCCAGACACAACGUUAUUGCUGCAAAUCAGGUCCCAGGAGCUCUGCAGUCACCCAGAGCUCUUAUUUCUUGGUGCAACAUCAGUCACACAUCAGGAUCUUCCAGGUUUCUGGCUACUCCCUGGCCAUCAAAACCUGCUAAUUUGUGGGGUGCAUUGAACUGAAGCCUGCUGCUGUCCCACUUUUCAGAGGACCUUUCAAAGUACGGUGAGCACCUGUUGGACGGGCUCCUGCCCUUCCUCUGGCUCCUUUGAUCCUCUGUGUGUUCACAUGUGCCUGGCUGUCUAUUUAUUAUUUGAUAUCACCAUCCCUCACAGUUCAAAGAAAUCUGGUUCUCCAUUACUUUCUCCUGCAUUGCUCGUCACGCUGGGGAGAAAUUCUCCAUCACUAGCAGCAGCUUUUGGCUUCAAAUUUCCCUUUAAAUUUCUCCAGUGUGGUGCCGGAGGAACAUUGCUGGGGAUUAAGCUGCUGAGAUGGUACGACUGGUAUCUGUUGCAUCACCCUGGUCAAAACUGUAGGAUAUGGGAAUGGAAAACUAAUAAAUAAGUCAUCCUUCAUCACUUCUCAUGUAAAAUUGCUCAGGAAUAACGAAGCCCUCAGUUCAUCUGUUCCUUGUUGUGUUACCAAGACUCUGCUCCCAUGUAUUCAUAGGGUUGAAUCUUGGGGAGUAAUAACAGCAACUAUUAUUAGGGGACUAAUAACUAACUAACAACAACUAAUAACACAGACAGAUCUGGGGGGUGUGGGGUGUGUUGAGAGCCUGACUGAGGAAGGUAUAAGUUGUUCGUGUUCAUCAGUGCUCAUUAAUGUACUCUAGCCAUCUUACAACACACAGUGAAAUUAAGAUGCAAUAUAUCUAGAAUAGCUACAAAGAAAAAAUAUGCGCAGUGUUUAAUUGGCCUAUAAAACUCACUGUUAUGUGUAAAAUCAAAGCAGAGAGCUUGUGGUGGUCUGAGCGGGCCUCAAGGAGCUGGUGGGAACAGGAGUGGUGUUCCCAGCAGCAUGGCUCUGUGACAGUAGUCUCAAAAAGCUUUAUUUUUGGCAUUUUAGCUUAAAAACUCUCAGGAUUGCUGGAAACAUCUAGUCUCUGUUUAAGUUUCCUAAUUUCCACUGGUGCAUCUGCUGCUGAUCAGUGUUGGAGGUGGGAUGAUGGGUGAGAUGGGUCACUGGUACCUUCUGGUUGAGUGAUCUGUCACUGUGUCGUGUUACGUGUGGUUUAGGUUCAUGGUGUCAUCUCUUCCUUUUUAACUAUUUCAAAGGAGUGAAUUAAUAUUGUGCUGGUUUUGUACUCUCAUUACAAAUGUUGCCUUCAGAAGGAAUUUGUGCUUUGCCAUUUUCUGUUCUCGUUACAGUGUUUGUUAUGAGAAUGAGGUAUCAUAAUUUUAAUGCCUGGUAUAGCCUGUGAAAGCCUGUAAACAUUUAAUAGACUCAUAAACAUAGACUUUAACCUUUUCAAUAUUCUGUAGCUGGAUUGGCCCCCGCUGCAAACGCAUCCCCACCAGUUACCGCUGCGAACACAAGGGAUGGCCACAGCGAGGGAAUCAAACAGCAGAAAUCCCGAAAAGGUCAAAGCAGCGCAGUUUACUAUUAUCUUCCUUAGAAUAUAUGAGGCGUUACAAUUCCAAUACUGCGGUUUUGUGGCUUAGGUUGGGGCAAGAGGAAGAAAUGGCAUGAGAUAAAUCUCUUCUGAAGACAGUCAUUGUAAUGGGGGUGGAAACGGGCACCCACUGGCCUCAUCCCUUUUAACUCUCCUGUGGCCACACUGGGUGUCCAUCUGCCUCCUGCCACAUCUCCCACCUUGUCCUGCCUUCCAUUCGCACAAGAGGUAGCAACAAGUCAGAAUGAAUUGUGCUCGUGUUUUCUUUAGAUUAGGAAAACCCUUCUCAAGACUUGCCUGUUAAAGUGGUUGCUUGGUUUUCUUUCAUUUGAUGUGCUUUAUUUUGUAUAAAACAGCAAAAAGUCUUUUAUGGUCAAGGAUUAAGAAUCUUACUGAGCAGAAAAGGUUCACAGUGAGUUUGAUGCUUCAGAUGUGGGGUAGCUGGAGGUCAUCUGAAAUUGGUGUGCAGCAUAGGAAGUGGACAUAAACCAAUGCAGACUUUAGUUUUUAAUCUGGAUUUAGGAUGAAGAUAAUGUAACAGGUGCUCUCUUUUACUGAAUUGGGUUUGAAUUUCUCCACACGCUACUUUUGUCUGAGCAGUGGUAUUGGGAGAUAUUCAAUAACACUUGUUCCCAGGAAGCAAAAAGCCCCUGCAUAGAGGGUUGGGAGCCAGCACCGAGUAUUAGAUGUGCAGGUUCUGGAGUGAAGUUCUGUGACUCGAAUGACCAGCUCCGUGGGGUCAGCUGCAGAAGAGCACAGAUCGCAGCAGGGGGAGCCCAGGACCAUACCUGACCAUGUUUUCUACUUGUCUGAAUCCCAUCUUGGGGCGUCCGCAGCAGCACGGGGGUCACGGUUUUCCCAGGUCCAGCUCAGGCAGGCUCGAGCGAUGCUCAGGCACAAAUGUUCUCCUCUGCGGGGAACCGAAUCCUCAGAAAUCACAGUUUUAAAUUUGCUCGUAUACCAUCCUGAAAAAUCUUUGAACUUCAGCUUUGUACUCAAAAUCUAAUCCCAUUACAACUGUCUUACUAUGCAACUGAAUAUUUUUCUGAGAAAACCAUUGCCAGUCACAUUACCAUAUAUUCAUUUCUCUGUAGAUCUUGUUACAAAGGCAGAUUUCCUUAGGCUGUACUACAGCUUUACUAUGAAGAACAUAAGAUAGUAAAACCUAUGCUAUUACUUCUUCCAUUUAAAAAGUUAUCAUGGCAAUAUAAUUUUGAGUGUGUUGCAUCCUCUGUCUGCUGCAGUUAUGAGAAGUUUUGGCUGAGCAGGGCAGGAUUUCAUGUUUAUAAAAUGCCACAUUGUUCCUGCACUCGUGCUGGGUUUACGUAGCAUCACCUAUAGAGAGAUUCACCCACUCUAUUGAAAAGCAGGGUUGUGCAGAAGGAUUCAACCCUACGAAAGCUUUACGUGGACAGAAUUCCCAUGCCUGAAUUGCUUCCUUCGUGAGAAAGCUGCAUCAAAGGUAACAAAGUUUUCAAUCAAUAGUCUAAAUGUAUGCAGAGCUGUAAUCUUCCUGAAGAUUUAGUAAUCUCCCAUGACGUUUACAGGACAGUUUCUGCAAACUCAGAAUUCCAGCACUGAAUUAGCGUUUCUUAAGAGAUCCACUGUGUCCAUAUGGUCUGUACGGAGCAAGGAGCAGCAAAGUAUCGCAAACCCCAGGUUUGACAGCGUUUGUAUUUAUGUGUUAGCAACUCCAUUUUCAGGAUUCAGGAGAAAAAGAAAAUUAAAAAAAAUUUAAAAAGCUGUGUGUAAUUUUCCAAGUGCAAGUGUUUUCUGGCAGGUUUUUAUUUUUUCCUUCCCUGGCUCCAGUAUGGAGCCCUGGAAAGCCCCGCACAAGGGCAGCCCCUGCUUUUCCCCAGUAACUGCAACAGAAUUUGUGCUGCGGAGUCGGACCCCCAGCACCUGCUGGGCACCUUUCAAGCUGCUUUAGCUGGAUCACAAGUUCCUAACUGUAGAUAGAUGUAACAGAGGCUAAUCCCAUAAUCUAGACAGAAGUACAAGCCCUGAACAGGGAGCAGCAUUUGCGCUCCAGCCGACAUGGCAGGAGGAGUUCAGACGUCGUCAUUCCCCCCCACCCUGAGCCACUUUCUGGUGAGUAAGAUCUGUGGGUUGACUUCAUUUGUUUUGUAUUUUAUUUUUCCUUCCCAAAGUCUGAAGAUAAAAUGUGCAAAACAAAACUUCAUGCUAUGGCCAAAAGGCAAAACAACUUUGGUUCAGAAAUGGCAAUUCUAAAUCGGGUAGAUAUUAUUUGUACUUGAAGUGCAAAAGUCAAAGACUGGCGUAAUUUUUAAAAAAUAUAAAAUAAAAUCCAGCAGCAGAAUAAUGGAGCAGAGUUUUCAGUUCUUUAAUAGCAGCAGGAAGGAGAGGGGCUGCUGCCCAGCUUCUCACAGUCACGGCUUGAAAUAUCCAUAAUUUAAAAAAGUACUUCUGCAGCAGCAGAUGCCUUGGUGUGGUUUCAGCACAGAACAUUGAUUGGAGCUGCGCGGAGCUGCAGAGCCGGGACCCAGCGAUCGAUAGCGCCGCAGAACCAGAGCCUGCAGAGACGGAUGGAGCCUUGAAGGAGCUCGUGCAGGGACACAAAUGAAUAAUUUCAUUUGCAUGGAGGAGCUCACUGAGUUGCGUGGAAACUGCUCGGGGCUGCUGUGAAGAGCUUUACCUCUCGGGACCCUGCAUGUUAAGAGCCAGCGUGACCACAUAGGGUACAGGAUUGUGUGCUUGUUGUAACCAGUGUGGGAAGGUGCCUGCUGGGUUAUUAGAGACAAGAGAGCUCCCUGCUCGCUCGGGUCACUUCUCAGGACUCCUAAAGGUAAUUUUCCCCUCCCCUAAACUGUUCGCAGAAGGGUUGGCUAUUGUUUUCUCCAAGGAUCAGCUUCAGGAGGGGGGGAAAGAAAAAAAUAAAAGGCCAUUUCUCUGGCGAUGCCGUGAAGUUUGCUGCUUUCCUGCCUUCCCCCACAGCACCCCCUCUCCUCCCCUGGCCCGACCCUGCUGCCGGGGAUGGAGCUUCCCCGUUUCACCCCAUUAGAUGUGAUUAACUGUUAUUGUUCCUCCCGAACACGCCACUUCCCGCCCAGGGGAGCGGGGGGCGGCCCGGGGCUGAGCCGGGGGGUCGGGGCGCAGGAGCCGCUCCCGGUGGCGGCGGCCGGGGGGUGCGGAGGGAAAGACGGAACA
This is a long non-coding RNA of Columba livia (rock pigeon), 8701 nucleotides long. RefSeq lists it as uncharacterized. The record is from RefSeq and is a predicted model, not a curated record. The transcript has 7 exons. Lineage: Eukaryota; Metazoa; Chordata; Aves; Columbiformes; Columbidae.